Danio aesculapii is the source of this 322-nucleotide long non-coding RNA. RefSeq lists it as uncharacterized. The record is from RefSeq and is a predicted model, not a curated record. The transcript is spliced from 4 exons. NCBI's taxonomy places the organism in Eukaryota, Metazoa, Chordata, Actinopteri, Cypriniformes, Danionidae.
UGAGAACCCUUCUCUGGACAAGAAGGAUCAGGGGCCAGAAUUACCUUUUUGGCCUUAGCUGGCAGUGACAAGUUGCGCUGGACAGAGCGAGCUUUGGACCUCCUUGAUAAUCUUGUUGAGAGGUACCCCUGGAGAUGACCACUUGCAGCCUUCCAGUUAUCUUUUCUCGAUUGCUAAACUGGACAGCCUUGGAGAUCCCGCUUUGGAGAUGGUGCUUUAACAACUUUGCCAGCUAUCCCUUCUCCACUGCCAUACAGAUUGUGCAGCAAGAUGGUUCGGCCCUCAUACCAGGAGGCAAAGCGAGAAUUUGUUGAUUUGCGAC